Molecule: small nucleolar RNA, 75 nt
Filed under: Aotus nancymaae (Ma's night monkey)
Lineage: Eukaryota; Metazoa; Chordata; Mammalia; Primates; Aotidae
Description: Small nucleolar RNA SNORD113/SNORD114 family (ENSANAG00000031463.1)
Rfam family: Small nucleolar RNA SNORD113/SNORD114 family
About the family: The imprinted human domain at 14q32 contains two clusters of tandemly repeated small nucleolar RNAs named 14q(I) and 14q(II) snoRNAs.
Source: Rfam by way of RNAcentral
CGGACCAAUGAUGACGACUGGUGGCGUAUGAGUCAUGGAUGAUGAAUAAUACGUGUCUGGAAGUCUGAGGUCUGG